This 827-nucleotide ribosomal RNA is filed under the name Coprobacillus cateniformis. RNAcentral's name for it is "bacterial SSU rRNA". It matches the Rfam family "Bacterial small subunit ribosomal RNA", at positions 8 to 832 of the family's 1533-position model. Lineage: Bacteria; Bacillati; Bacillota; Erysipelotrichia; Erysipelotrichales; Coprobacillaceae. The record is from RNAcentral.
AGAGUUUGAUCCUGGCUCAGGAUGAACGCUGGCGGCGUGCCUAAUACAUGCAAGUCGAACGCACUGAUUUUAUCAGUGAGUGGCGAACGGGUGAGUAAUACAUAAGUAACCUGCCCUCAUGAGGGGGAUAACUAUUAGAAAUGAUAGCUAAGACCGCAUAGGUGAAGGGGUCGCAUGACCGCUUCAUUAAAUAUCCGUAUGGAUAGCAGGAGGAUGGACUUAUGGCGCAUUAGCUGGUUGGUGAGGUAACGGCUCACCAAGGCGACGAUGCGUAGCCGACCUGAGAGGGUGGACGGCCACACUGGGACUGAGACACGGCCCAGACUCCUACGGGAGGCAGCAGUAGGGAAUUUUCGGCAAUGGGGGAAACCCUGACCGAGCAACGCCGCGUGAGGGAAGAAGUAUUUCGGUAUGUAAACCUCUGUUAUAAAGGAAGAACGGUAUGAAUAGGAAAUGAUUCAUAAGUGACGGUACUUUAUGAGAAAGCCACGGCUAACUACGUGCCAGCAGCCGCGGUAAUACGUAGGUGGCGAGCGUUAUCCGGAAUCAUUGGGCGUAAAGAGGGAGCAGGCGGCAAUAGAGGUCUGCGGUGAAAGCCUGAAGCUAAACUUCAGUAAGCCGUGGAAACCAAAUAGCUAGAGUGCAGUAGAGGAUCGUGGAAUUCCAUGUGUAGCGGUGAAAUGCGUAGAUAUAUGGAGGAACACCAGUGGCGAAGGCGACGAUCUGGGCUGCAACUGACGCUCAGUCCCGAAAGCGUGGGGAGCAAAUAGGAUUAGAUACCCUAGUAGUCCACGCCGUAAACGAUGAGUACUAAGUGUUGGGGGUCG